GCGGAGGUGGCGAAAUUGGUAGACGCACUACUUUGAGGUGGUAGCGGGGUAACAGCCGUGGGAGUUCGAAUCUCCUCUUCCGCACAA
This 87-nucleotide transfer RNA is filed under the name Sphingobacteriia bacterium 35-40-8. Its description in RNAcentral is "tRNA-Leu". It matches the Rfam family "tRNA". Rfam says of the family: Transfer RNA (tRNA) molecules are approximately 80 nucleotides in length. Their secondary structure includes four short double-helical elements and three loops (D, anti-codon, and T loops). The record is from RNAcentral. RNAcentral also lists the same sequence under 3 other names. Lineage: Bacteria; Pseudomonadati; Bacteroidota; Sphingobacteriia.